CAUUUCACUGAUCAUGAGAUCACUUCUUUUCCUUCUUGAUCUCCCUCUUGAUCUUGACACUCAUCAACUUUUCCACCGGCUUGACCUCCACCUUCUGUCCAUUGACAGAUACACCAUCAUCAAUCUUAACACCUUCACCUUUGAUCACACCAUCCUUAACAUCUCCAGCACCAUGUUCAUCAUCCUUCUUUCCAGACUCAACCUCAAAUCUAAACUCUGGUGAGGACUUAACCAAGUCCACAGGCUGAAUACAAACCUUCUUAGAACUUGAGGCUUGAUCAGU
This 283-nucleotide long non-coding RNA is filed under the name Arabidopsis lyrata. RNAcentral's name for it is "long non-coding RNA (ALYR_LNC000197)". Lineage: Eukaryota; Viridiplantae; Streptophyta; Magnoliopsida; Brassicales; Brassicaceae. The record is from RNAcentral.